GUUGACCUCGGAUCAGGUAGGAAUACCCGCUGAACUUAAGCAUAUCAAUAAGCGGAGGAAAAGAAACCAA
This 70-nucleotide ribosomal RNA is filed under the name Paecilomyces nostocoides. RNAcentral describes it as "partial 28S ribosomal RNA". It matches the Rfam family "Eukaryotic large subunit ribosomal RNA", at positions 1 to 68 of the family's 3401-position model. The record is from RNAcentral. Lineage: Eukaryota; Fungi; Ascomycota; Eurotiomycetes; Eurotiales; Thermoascaceae. RNAcentral also lists the same sequence under 1 other name.